GACGAACGCUGGCGGCGUGCCUAAUACAUGCAAGUAGAACGCACAGUUUAUACCUUAGCUUGCUACACCAUAGACUGUGAGUUGCGAACGGGUGAGGAACGCGUAGGUAACCUGCCUGGUAGCGUGAGAUAACUAUUGGAAACGAUAGCUAAUACCGCAUAAUAUUAAUUAUUGCAUGAUAAUUAAUUGAAAGGUGCAAUUGCACCACUACCAGAUGGACCUGCGUUGUAUUAGCUAGUAGGUGAGGUAACGGCUCACCUAGGCGACGAUACAUAGCCGACCUGCGAGGGUGAUCGGCCACACUGGGACUGAGACCCGGCCCAGACUCCUACGGGAGGCAGCAGUAGGGAAUCGUCGGCAAGGGACGAAAGUCUGAACGAGCAACGCCGAGUGAGUGAAGAAGGUUUUCGGAUCGUAAAGCUCGGUUGUAAGAGAAGAAAGGGUGUGAGAGUGGAAAGUUCACACUGUGACGGUAUCUGACCAGAAAGGGACGGCUAACUACGUG
Molecule: ribosomal RNA, 505 nt
Filed under: uncultured bacterium
Lineage: Bacteria
Description: partial 16S ribosomal RNA
Rfam family: Bacterial small subunit ribosomal RNA
Source: RNAcentral